RNAcentral lists this small nucleolar RNA (177 nucleotides) under Henningerozyma blattae CBS 6284. Lineage: Eukaryota; Fungi; Ascomycota; Saccharomycetes; Saccharomycetales; Saccharomycetaceae. The record is from RNAcentral.
AACUUUGUCCAAAAGUGAUCCUCCGCAUUAGACAGUGCAAUUUCCAAGAUAUUAAACCCACUUGGCCAUUGCGAUACGCGAGUAGGAAAGAGUAAUUGGGAUUUUUAUAAGAACUCGAGCGGAAUGCUGUUGUUUCAACAGAAAAUGAUUCUCGAGUGUCAGAAAGAUCACACAACU